Molecule: small RNA, 1718 nt
Filed under: Rattus norvegicus (Norway rat)
Lineage: Eukaryota; Metazoa; Chordata; Mammalia; Rodentia; Muridae
Description: uncharacterized LOC108348531
Source: RNAcentral
UAGGGUACUCACUUUUAACUGCUUGAGCCGACCCCUGUCCAAAGUGGGGUAUUUAGUUGCACAACCAAAAUGCAUUCUAACAUGUCAUGAAAUCAACAGUGAUUCCUCAGUCACGAUCACAUACUCAGUCCGAAUUGAAACCUUUCUUACAGGUCCCCAAAUAUCUACCCUCGGUAGGUGUGUCUGGCUCGGGGUUCAGUGUUCCUCACGGUGCAUUCCACUGGGCUUUGUACUACAAGUUCUUGCAGGAAACCUGUCUCUCAUCUCUCUUUUAUUCAGAAAUAUGAAAGCGGUUGGACCUCUUUCGGUAAGUCUUGUAAAAUGUGGAAGCAAUUAGUCCAAGCAGCUAUGGCCUUUUGAAGAUCAAUAGAUGUUCGAACUUCAUUUUUCUCACUGCGAGAAGCCAUUCUCCUAGCCAAGGAGAGUCUCUGCGGUCUUCAUACAAGUCUCCUUUUCCUCUAUUUUUAGAAACCCGUGUGCAGGCUGCCACUACCACUUUCGCACAUCUCUCUCCACAGCCGUGAGGGAAUUCUGUCUUCUAAAGAGAAAAUUCGUAGUUUAGAAUUUUAUUUCUUCUACUCAUCUCAGAAUCUUGGCAUGGAUCCCAUGGGCGACACGUUCUAAAGUUACAAAGCCAUACCUGCGGCAGAGCGGGGGGAGCCCGGAAAGAAAACCACCAUAAGGGCCUGAUGCGGAAAUCCUCCUCUUCUCAGGGAGGGAAACCUGGAGAAAGGGUUUGCAGCUUAAGUUCCCUUCACCCGAAAGAACAGCUACAGAGGUGAAGGAUGCCGGUGAACCUGCAGGGCUGAUGAGAGUAUUUCCAGAACAUCAGGAUGAAGCAUGAACAGACACUCACUUUUAAGCCUCUGCUCUGUGGGGCUUUGAGAACUUCGCCUUACUUCCCGAAGCCACCGAAGAAGGACAAACGUGCGUGGGAUUGCAUACAAAUGUGGGCAAUAUCAAAGCGGAAGUCUGUGAGAGGGUGCUCAGAACGUGCGAGAAUUGGUCGGGCUCUUUAUACCAGUAAUUACGAUAAUAGCUUUCUAUGUCCUAGAGGUUCCGAGGGUUUCGUGGUUCAAACAGGAGAUCCCCUCGGGUCCUGGAAGAGGAAGUGACAUCAUCUUGAGUGGGAGGGCAAACAGUGUCUGAAUCACUGUGUGGCCCCCCAACCAAUGUGUCAGUCCUUCAUGCUAUGGAAAGCAAUGAUAUUUGGAUAUGAAAUACACCAUAUUGGCCAAGGUACUGCUUGUCUCCAGCUUUGAAACACCCAGCAGAGCAACUUAAAGAAGGAAGAACUCAGUUCUGCCCACAGUUUGGAGGUAUGUCCCACCAUGGUGGGGAAGAUGGAGUAACAGUGGCUCGGGCUGUGGCAGCAGGAGCAUCCAGCCAUCACACUGCACCCAGAGUCAGGAAGCAGGGAGAGACAAACGCUGGCUCUCACCUCACUUGACCCUUUCGAUACGGACUAAAUUUGCAUAUUAUUGUCCAGUCAAUUCUGCUGGCCUGCCCUCGGCCCAGCAAUUGCUUGUCACUACCUGCGGCCAACACCAGGUGCACCCUGAUGUGUUCCUGGCUGAUCUCUCUCUCCCCUUUUCUGUCCUUCUCUGUCCCACCGCCCCCUUCUCUGCCCUCAUGGCUUUACUCCCAUUUGUCUGCCUGUCUACCUGGCUCACUUGAUGCCUUUACUCCUCUCCCUUCCCCCAAUAAACCUCCUUUAU